Molecule: ribosomal RNA, 253 nt
Filed under: uncultured bacterium
Lineage: Bacteria
Description: partial 16S ribosomal RNA
Rfam family: Bacterial small subunit ribosomal RNA
Source: RNAcentral
UACGUAGGGGGCUAGCGUUGUCCGGAUUUAUUGGGCGUAAAGAGCGUGUAGGCGGCCAGAUAGGUCUGCUGUGAAAACUCGAGGCUCAACCUCGAGAUGUCGGCGGAAACCAUUUGGCUAGAGUCCGGAAGAGGAGAUUGGAAUUCCUGGUGUAGCAGUGGAAUGCGCAGAUAUCAGGAGGAACACCGAUGGCGAAGGCAGAUCUCUGGGCCGUAACUGACGCUGAGGAGCGAAAGCAUGGGGAGCGAACAGG